AGUGAACGCUGGCGGUAGGCCUAACACAUGCAAGUCGAACGGCAGCACAGGAGAGCUUGCUCUCUGGGUGGCGAGUGGCGGACGGGUGAGGAAUGCAUCGGAAUCUGCCCAGUCGUGGGGGAUAACGUAGGGAAACUUACGCUAAUACCGCAUACGACCUUCGGGUGAAAGAGGGGGAUCGCAAGACCUCUCGCGCGUUGAUGAGCCGAUGUCGGAUUAGCUAGUUGGCGGGGUAAUGGCCCACCAAGGCGACGAUCCGUAGCUGGUCUGAGAGGAUGAUCAGCCACACUGGAACUGAGACACGGUCCAGACUCCUACGGGAGGCAGCAGUGGGGAAUAUUGGACAAUGGGCGCAAGCCUGAUCCAGCCAUACCGCGUGGGUGAAGAAGGCCUUCGGGUUGUAAAGCCCUUUUGUUGGGAAAGAAAUCUUUCAGGCUAAUACCCUGGGAGGAUGACGGUACCCAAAGAAUAAGCACCGGCUAACUUCGUG
RNAcentral lists this ribosomal RNA (490 nucleotides) under uncultured bacterium. Its description in RNAcentral is "partial 16S ribosomal RNA". It matches the Rfam family "Bacterial small subunit ribosomal RNA", at positions 29 to 507 of the family's 1533-position model. The record is from RNAcentral.